CCUACGGGGGGCUGCAGUGAGGAAUAUUGGUCAAUGGGCGCGAGCCUGAACCAGCCAAGUCGCGUGAGGGAAGACGGUCCUAUGGAUUGUAAACCUCUUUUGUCGGGGAGCAAAAGACGCCACGCGUGGCGUUCCGAGAGUACCCGAAGAAAAAGCAUCGGCUAACUCCGUGCCAGCAGCCGCGGUAAUACGGAGGAUGCGAGCGUUAUCCGGAUUUAUUGGGUUUAAAGGGUGCGCAGGCGGAAGAUAAAGUCAGUGGUAAAAUUGAGAGGCUCAACCUCUUCGAGCCGUUGAAACUGGUAUUCUUGAGUGAGCGAGAAGUAUGCGGAAUGCGUGGUGUAGCGGUGAAAUGCAUAGAUAUCACGCAGAACUCCGAUUGCGAAGGCAGCAUACCGGCGCUCAACUGACGCUGAUGCACGAAAGUGUGGGUAUCGAACAGGAUUAGAUACCCGGGUAGUC
This 459-nucleotide ribosomal RNA is filed under the name uncultured bacterium. Its description in RNAcentral is "partial 16S ribosomal RNA". It matches the Rfam family "Bacterial small subunit ribosomal RNA", at positions 338 to 795 of the family's 1533-position model. The record is from RNAcentral.